AUCAGCCGACGUUAGUGGCCAGUUUCGUCCUUCUUUAGAAUUUUAGACUUCAGAGAAGUACGCGACCACAACUUCAUUAGAACACUGACGAUAGAUAGAGAGAAAAAAAUCUUAUAGACAUACUUCCAUAACGGCGUCAGAUGAAUUUGUUCCUGGUUGGUACACUAUUUUUGUUGCUGACUGUUGUGUUAUGCGCCAGUGUACCUAUACCCGCAGACCUAGACAACGCGGAGAAAGAAUUAAACGUCGACGCCAGAGAUGUUUCAGAAAAGCGAGAAGAGAAAAUACAUAAAUUUGAAGACAAUGACCUCGACGCUAAAAAGCUGAUGGAUAUUUACCGCUCGAAAAGCGAGGGAAAAGCUGAAAACCUCGUCGGGGAAGGCCUGAAUAGAGAAGUAUUGAGACGCAAUGCGGCGGAUAAACACAUUGUGAAGCGACGCUACAACAAAAAUGGGAGAAUGAGGGUUCAUAUCUCGGAUCAAAAUGGCCAGCGAAUGUUCAGAAAAAGGAAAUAAAAAAUAAAGUUUUAUUGAGAUUUAAAGAUUUUUUAUUAUGAAUUAUGAAAAUAAGCCUAUUACGAAGAUUCGACAUUCAAAAUAUAUAAACUCACAAUGAAGCAACAUACUUCAAAUUAUUUGUGUCUUAAUGAAGUUGCAAAUAAAACAAUAUUCAAGUGUU
Mercenaria mercenaria is the source of this 678-nucleotide long non-coding RNA. RefSeq lists it as uncharacterized. The transcript is spliced from 2 exons. The record is from RefSeq and is a predicted model, not a curated record. Lineage: Eukaryota; Metazoa; Mollusca; Bivalvia; Venerida; Veneridae.